GGCCCGUUACGGGGAGCCCCGGGACACUCGGGGGUAAGUGACGAAAAAAAAGCUGCCCGUCCAUAGAUAGGACGGGAGCAAAUCUGCUCGUCCCUAGGCAGAUAGGGCGAGAGGAAAAAUGGCCAUUUCGAGAAAAUGGAGAAGAUUGAUACAGUAUGUUUGUGUCUUGUUUUGUCUUAAAAUGUUGUAUUGUCUUUGUGAUGAAAAUAUGGAAGGGGUGAGAAGUAAAUUACUAAGGGAAGAAGGCACCCCAGUGGAACCAAGAAUAGUUAGGGCAUGUGUUGAUAAGAGCCCAGGAACUCUAGUCAGAAAGAAAAAGAAAGUUCAGAAGAAGAAGGAUUAUCAGGAAAAAAGUUGCAGCAAAAGGCUAUUACUGAAUACUUUUCGUUACCGGAGGGUGCGUGAAGCGGAGAGGCGGCUGCCGAGUGUGCAAGCCGGUCACAGCGCAGCAAGGAUUUUCCAAGAGGCGGCGGCGACUGGCCCUUCCCCGCCUCCUGGCCGGGGAGCUGGCUCUUCCACUGCCGCGAGCCCAAAUCUAGACCUGACCUGGAGGCACA
This 557-nucleotide long non-coding RNA is filed under the name Marmota monax (woodchuck). Lineage: Eukaryota; Metazoa; Chordata; Mammalia; Rodentia; Sciuridae. The record is from RNAcentral.